AACACCACUACUUCAGCGUUUCCUUACUUACUCGAUGAGGCGGAAGGCGUCCGACGGGCGUAAAACCCCGGCGAGAUGGUAUAUUUCGCCCUAAGCGCAAAGGGUCGUCGGUCUGUAAGGAGUCGCGCUCGCGCCGAGAAGGGCUUCGGCCCGGACCGGCUGCGCCGCGUCUCUCGGACCAGCCGGGCCUGCCGGCGACAUAUUCCAUGGCGUGAUCCGAUUCGAGGACACUACCAGGUUGGGAGUUCGGCUGGGGCGGUACAUCUGUCAAAUAAUAACGCAGGUGUCCUAAGGUCAGCUCAGCGAGGACAGAAACCUCGCGUAGAGCAAAAGGGCAAAAGCUGGCUUGAUCCCGAUGCUCAGUGCGCAUAGGGACUGCGAAAGCACGGCCCAUCGAUCCUUUUGGCUUGAAGAAUUUUCAG
Long non-coding RNA from Cimex lectularius (bed bug), 422 nucleotides. RefSeq lists it as uncharacterized. The transcript is spliced from 3 exons. Lineage: Eukaryota; Metazoa; Arthropoda; Insecta; Hemiptera; Cimicidae. The record is from RefSeq and is a predicted model, not a curated record.